GACGAACCACACGAACGUUAUUCGGAAUUACUGGGCUUAAAGGGUGCGUAGGCUGUGCGGAAAGUUGGGUGUGAAAUCCCCCGGCUCAACCGGGGAAUUGCGCUCAAAACUACCGUGCUGGAGGAAGACAGAGGUGAGCGGAACUUCGGGUGGAGCGGUGAAAUGCGUUGAUAUCCGAAGGAACACCGGUGGCGAAAGCGGCUCACUGGGUCUUUUCUGACGCUCAUGCACGAAAGCGUGGGGAGCAAACAGG
Molecule: ribosomal RNA, 253 nt
Filed under: uncultured bacterium
Lineage: Bacteria
Description: partial 16S ribosomal RNA
Rfam family: Bacterial small subunit ribosomal RNA
Source: RNAcentral